RNA transcript from Solanum pennellii, 1240 nucleotides. RefSeq lists it as uncharacterized. The transcript has 4 exons. Lineage: Eukaryota; Viridiplantae; Streptophyta; Magnoliopsida; Solanales; Solanaceae. The record is from RefSeq and is a predicted model, not a curated record.
UUUCCCUCCAUUAAUUUUGCAAAGCUCCUAAAUAUAUUUUUAUCCCUAAAUAUAUUCUCUCAUUAAAAAAUCUAAAAGAAAAAAGACUUGUUUUCCAAAACCUUCACCGAUGUGAGCAUACUCCACAAACAACGUUAACGAAGCCCUAUUCCAUAGAUUUUCAAUCAAAGCAGCUCUUGGACAGCAAAGCUCUGCGACAAUGAAGCAUUUGGUGAGGAAAACAACAACGAACAAUUUCGAAGCUUUUGGUAAAGCUCGUUGGUCCUCUUGGAUACCGAGGUUUGACUACAAAAUCUUCCAUAUAAACGUGUACUUAUUGCAAACCCAUUAACAGUGUGCUUUUCAAUUUGUGCAAAAUCACUACUGAUUGGAUAACCAUCGUCGUCAAGGACCCGGUAACAUUGUACUCUCUCCUUCCUUUGUUUCAGGAAUAAAGUUUAAAUGUGAGGUGAAUUUGACCUCGCCUCCAGGGAAAUCGAGGACUUAGGAAUCAUUAUGAAUAUUGUGCAUGAGAUUUAACUGUGUUUGAGCUUUAUUUGAGUCAAAACGGAAAUAAGCUGGUGUGUUCUCUUAUUUAUUAUAUAGUAUUAACAUGGCAUUUAAACUAUUUUUUAUAUACAUUUCAAUGUGACUAGGAGAAAAAUAAGGAGACAGUAUCAUUUAAGGAUCUGUUGUGGUUACACGAACAAGAAAAUUCGGGCGUUUGUACAAGGCUUCGAAUGAAGAUACUACUAGUAAAACUGCUGAAAUGGAGGAAAUUGAAAAACAAAUGCAACAACUUAUUGAAUACAAGAAAUGUAAGAAAAGGAUGCUAUUAAAUGGAGGAACAAAUGGAGGAACAAAAGAAAACUGUGCGACAGGACGUUAUAGCAGAUGUAAUUUCACAAAUUAAGCAUGCGAGAUUAAUUGAUCCUAAUAUACUGGCAGCACUGUCCAUUUCUUCACCAAGAGAAUCGACUUCUGUUCAAGGGGGUGAUGAAAUUGAUGAAGGCGAUGAAAGUAGCAGUGAAGACUUGACAUAGGAGCUGAAUUGUGGAUGUUAGCUUUAUUGGUGUUCUAGAAAUCUUUUAUUUUGAAGAUCGAAAACUGUGUGGUACAUGUGUUUCACCUUUUUUUGAAUGGUAAAAAAAUAUUUUGUAUAUUUUGCUAAGUUGAUAUUAGAAUCGUGGAUCUUGAAUUUUAAUUUUAGUGUUGAACAUUUCUUCUCGUGAAUAAUUCAUGUGUAUUUUAUGUUAUUAAA